This 890-nucleotide long non-coding RNA is filed under the name Drosophila guanche. Lineage: Eukaryota; Metazoa; Arthropoda; Insecta; Diptera; Drosophilidae. The record is from RNAcentral.
CUUUAUGGAAUGGGAAAUGUAUUUGUUUAUCUCAAUGAAAAUUACGGUAGAAAUAUGUUCCUUAAGCAACAGCUGCAACUAAAAUAAAUGACACAAUCGAAAAGCUUUGAACUACAUAAAUUCCCAUCUUUUCUAGACUCGUAGUUGCAAGAAUUGCACUUAGUAUUCCAUUACUAAAAUCAUCGUACUGCAAACUUAUAACUGUAUCUUCUCCUUAGACGUUGACUUUCAUUCCAUAAAGACUUCCAGCAAGACCUCCAGCCAGAGUCACCUCUCACUUCAAGUACUCCACUCUCAGAACACGGUUUUGUGUCCAGUAUUUCUCUGUCCAAUCAAAGUGUCUAAGAACUUUUCCUAUGUUUAUGCACUCUGUGGCAAUUGUAACGAUCAAUAAAUUUGCUUUUUAUGACCAGUCGAUGCUGUGAUGUGUUGUAAAUUGAUUUUAUAGUGCCAACUCUUCAUUAUGGGGGGCUCUAGCUAUGGCCAUGAAAGUGCGUUAUAAAGUAUCCAUCGAGUGAAGUGCAACUCGCAUUUGAUGUACUGAAACUGUGCCAGCAAUAUGCACUGGCCGCUGCUCAUCGGAGUUAUGGGUGAGUCCACCUCCUGAAGUGAAGAUUUCUUAGCUAUAUAAAUUUUUGACAUAUUAUACCAUCUUUUACAGCUGUGUUUCUCAGUUUGAUUGGAAAUGAAGUCUGGGUGUAUGCUGCAGCGCCGCCUACUCUCUUUCCAUGGGAGAAAGAGUCCUCAACAAAGCACAAGGCGCCAUAUAGGAUAUCUGGAGAUAUUUAAAGAUAUAUUUGUGGCGGGUUUCCUUUUGGUUUAUAUGAAUAAUUUAAUAUGUUUUGAGUUUGUUUUUUAAAUCAAAUAAACUUUGAGUAAGGCAACUAAAA